Brassica oleracea var. oleracea is the source of this 72-nucleotide transfer RNA. It matches the Rfam family "tRNA". Rfam says of the family: Transfer RNA (tRNA) molecules are approximately 80 nucleotides in length. Lineage: Eukaryota; Viridiplantae; Streptophyta; Magnoliopsida; Brassicales; Brassicaceae. The record is from Rfam.
GACGACUUAGCUCAGUGGUAGAGCGCGUGACUUUUAAUUCCGUGGCCGUGGGUUCUAUCCCCACAGUCGGCG